RNA transcript from Zea mays, 226 nucleotides. It is a transcript of the gene named chlorophyllide a oxygenase pseudogene, with no coding region annotated. Lineage: Eukaryota; Viridiplantae; Streptophyta; Magnoliopsida; Poales; Poaceae. The transcript is spliced from 2 exons. The record is from RefSeq and is marked validated.
GCAGUGGGUGAUAUUCCGUGGAAAAGACGGAAGGCCUGGGUGUGUUCAGAACACAUGUGCUCACAGGGCUUGCCCGCUGCAUCUUGGUUCAGUGAACGAGGGUAGGAUCCAGUGCCCUUACCAUGGUUGGGAGUACUCUACUGAUGGGAAAUGUGAAAAAAUGCCAUCAACAAAGAUGCUCAACGUGCGCAUCCAGUCAUUGCCAUGCUUUGAGCAGGAAGGAAUG